UUGCCCUAGUAACGGCGAGUGAAGCGGCAACAGCUCAAAUUUGAAAUCUGGCUCUUUUAGAGUCCGAGUUGUAAUUUGCAGAGGGCGCUUUGGCGUUGGCAGCGGUCCAAGUUCCUUGGAACAGGACGUCACAGAGGGUGAGAAUCCCGUACGUGGUCGCUGGCCUUCGCCGUGUAAAGCCCCUUCGACGAGUCGAGUUGUUUGGGAAUGCAGCUCUAAAUGGGAGGUAAAUUUCUUCUAAAGCUAAAUACUGGCCAGAGACCGAUAGCGCACAAGUAGAGUGAUCGAAAGAUGAAAAGCACUUUGGAAAGAGAGUCAAAUAGCACGUGAAAUUGUUGAAAGGGAAGCGCUUGCAGCCAGACUUGCCUUUAGUUGCUCAUCUGGGCUUUUGCCCGGUGCACUCUUCUAUAGGCAGGCCAGCAUCAGUUUGGGCGGUUGGAUAAAGGUCUCUGUCAUGUACCUCUCUUCGGGGAGGCCUUAUAGGGGAGACGACAUGCAACCAGCCUGGACUGAGGUCCGCGCAUUUGCUAGGAUGCUGGCGUAAUGGCUGUAAGCGGCCCGUCUUGAAACACGGACCAAGGAGUCUAACAUCUAUGCGAGUGUUUGGGUGUCAAGCCCGAACGCGUAAUGAAAGUGAACGGAGGUGGGAACCCUUUUAGGGUGCACCAUCGACCGAUCCUGAUGUCUUCGGAAGGAUUUGAGUAAGAGCAUGGCUGUUGGGACCCGAAAGAUGGUGAACUAUGCUUGAAUAGGGUGAAGCCAGAGGAAACUCUGGUGGAGGCUCGCAGCGGUUCUGACGUGCAAAUCGAUCGUCAAAUUUGGGCAUAGGGGCGAAAGACU
RNAcentral lists this ribosomal RNA (840 nucleotides) under Plenodomus triseptatus. Its description in RNAcentral is "Plenodomus sp. ARR-2019a partial large subunit ribosomal RNA". It matches the Rfam family "Eukaryotic large subunit ribosomal RNA", at positions 75 to 932 of the family's 3401-position model. Lineage: Eukaryota; Fungi; Ascomycota; Dothideomycetes; Pleosporales; Leptosphaeriaceae. The record is from RNAcentral.